Molecule: ribosomal RNA, 467 nt
Filed under: uncultured bacterium
Lineage: Bacteria
Description: partial 16S ribosomal RNA
Rfam family: Bacterial small subunit ribosomal RNA
Source: RNAcentral
GACGAACGCUGGCGGCGUGCUUAACACAUGCAAGUCGAACGGAAAGGCCCUGCUUUUGUGGGGUGCUCGAGUGGCGAACGGGUGAGUAACACGUGAGUAACCUGCCCUUGACUUUGGGAUAACUUCAGGAAACUGGGGCUAAUACCGGAUAGGAGCUCCUGCUGCAUGGUGGGGGUUGGAAAGUUUCGGCGGUUGGGGAUGGACUCGCGGCUUAUCAGCUUGUUGGUGGGGUAGUGGCUUACCAAGGCUUUGACGGGUAGCCGGCCUGAGAGGGUGACCGGCAAAAUUGGGACUGAGUUACGGCCAGGAUUCUUACGGGAGGAAGAGGUGGGGAAUAUGGAACAAUGGGCGGAAGCCUGAGGAAGAAAGGCGGGGUGCGGAAUGCCGGCUUUCGGGUUGUAACCGGCUUUGGCCUGGGACGAAGCGUGGGUGAGGGAAAUGGGUAAAGAAGAACCGGUUAACUACGU